Molecule: ribosomal RNA, 271 nt
Filed under: uncultured bacterium
Lineage: Bacteria
Description: partial 16S ribosomal RNA
Rfam family: Bacterial small subunit ribosomal RNA
Source: RNAcentral
UACGGAGGGUGCAAGCGUUAUCCGGAUUCACUGGGUUUAAAGGGUGCGUAGGCGGGUAUGUAAGUCAGUGGUGAAAUACCGGAGCUUAACUUCGGAACUGCCAUUGAUACUAUAUAUCUUGAAUAUUGUGGAGGUAAGCGGAAUAUGUCAUGUAGCGGUGAAAUGCUUAGAGAUGACAUAGAACACCGAUUGCGAAGGCAGCUUGCUACGCAAAUAUUGACGCUGAGGCACGAAAGCGUGGGGAUCAAACAGGAUUAGAUACCCUGGUAGU